GCGUCUUCGGCGUCCGCAUUGUAAUCUCAAGAAGUGUUUUCCGCUUCGGACCAUGCCUAAGUCCCUUGGAAAAGGGCAUCAUAGAGGGUGAUAAUCCCGUACAUGGCAUGGAGCGCCCGAGGCUUUGUGAUACGCUUUCUAAGAGUCGAGUUGUUUGGGAAUGCAGCUCAAAAUGGGUGGUAAAUGCCAUCUAAGGCUAAAUAUUGGGGAGAGACCGAUAGCGAACAAGUACAGUGAUGGAAAGAUGAAAAGAACUUUGAAAAGAGAGUUAAACAGUACGUGAAAUUGCCAAAAGGGAAGGGUAGGAGGUCAGAGAUGCGUCUUGGGAUUCAGCCUUGCUUUUGCUUGGUGUUUUUCCCAAGUUGCAGGCCAACGUCGGUUUUGGGCACUGGAGAAGGGUGGAAGGAACGUGGCACCUCUCGGGGUGUGUUAUAGCCUUCUACUGGAUACAGCGACCGAGACCGAGGACAGCAGCGUACUCGCAAGAGCGGGCCUUCGGGCACCUUUACGCUUAGGGCGUUGGCAUAAUGGCCCUCUACCAC
Molecule: ribosomal RNA, 542 nt
Filed under: Sporisorium sp. DMKU-SP22
Lineage: Eukaryota; Fungi; Basidiomycota; Ustilaginomycetes; Ustilaginales; Ustilaginaceae
Description: LSU rRNA
Rfam family: Eukaryotic large subunit ribosomal RNA
Source: RNAcentral